UAGGGAAUCUUCCACAAUGGACGAAAGUCUGAUGGAGCAACGCCGCGUGAGUGAAGAAGGGUUUCGGCUCGUAAAACUCUGUUGUUAAAGAAGAACAUAUCUGAGAGUAACUGUUCAGGUAUUGACGGUAUUUAACCAGAAAGCCACGGCUAACUACGUGCCAGCAGCCGCGGUAAUACGUAGGUGGCAAGCGUUGUCCGGAUUUAUUGGGCGUAAAGCGAGCGCAGGCGGUUUUUUAAGUCUGAUGUGAAAGCCUUCGGCUCAACCGAAGAAGUGCAUCGGAAACUAGGAAACUUGAGUGCAGAAGAGGACAGUGGAACUCCAUGUGUAGCGGUGAAAUGCGUAGAUAUAUGGAAGAACACCAGUGGCGAAGGCGGCUGUCUGGUCUGUAACUGACGCUGAGGCUCGAAAGUAUGGGUAGCAAACAGG
RNAcentral lists this ribosomal RNA (429 nucleotides) under Acidobacteriota bacterium. Its description in RNAcentral is "Acidobacteria bacterium partial 16S ribosomal RNA". It matches the Rfam family "Bacterial small subunit ribosomal RNA", at positions 355 to 776 of the family's 1533-position model. Lineage: Bacteria; Pseudomonadati; Acidobacteriota. The record is from RNAcentral.